RNAcentral lists this ribosomal RNA (497 nucleotides) under uncultured bacterium. Its description in RNAcentral is "partial 16S ribosomal RNA". It matches the Rfam family "Bacterial small subunit ribosomal RNA", at positions 28 to 507 of the family's 1533-position model. The record is from RNAcentral.
GAUGAACGCUGGCGGCGUGCCUAAUACAUGCAAGUCGAGCGAACAGACGAGGAGCUUGCUCCUCUGACGUUAGCGGCGGACGGGUGAGUAACACGUGGAUAACCUACCUAUAAGACUGGGAUAACUUCGGGAAACCGGAGCUAAUACCGGAUAAUAUAUUGAACCGCAUGGUUCAAUAGUGAAAGACGGUUUUGCUGUCACUUAUAGAUGGAUCCGCGCCGCAUUAGCUAGUUGGUAAGGUAACGGCUUACCAAGGCAACGAUGCGUAGCCGACCUGAGUGGGUGAUCGGCCACACUGGAACUGAGACACGGUCCAGACUCCUACGGGAGGCAGCAGUAGGGAAUCUUCCGCAAUGGGUGAAAGCUUGACGGAGCAACGCCGCGUGAGUGAUGAAGGUCUUCGGAUCGUAAAACUCUGUUAUUAGGGAAGAACAAAUGUGUAAGUAACUAUGCACGUCUUGACGGUACCUAAUCAGAAAGCCACGGCUAACUACGUG